UGACACAGGUGCUGCAUGGCUGUCGUCAGCUCGUGUCGUGAGACUGUUGGGUUAAGUCCCGUAACGACGCGCAACCUUGUCCUUAGUUACCAGCACGUUAUGGUGGGCACUCUAAGGAGACUGCCGGUGACAAACCGGAGGAAGGUGGGGACGACGUCAAGUCAUCAUGGCCCUUAUGUCCUGGGCUACACACGUGCUACAAUGGCCGGUACAGAGCGCAGCGAAGCCGCGAGGCAAAGCGAAUCGCAAAAAGCCGGUCUCAGUACGGAUUGGAGUCUGAAACCCGACUCCAUGAAGUUGGAAUCGCUAGUAAUCGCGCAUCAGCAUGGCGCGGUGAAUACGUUCCCGGGCCUU
This 354-nucleotide ribosomal RNA is filed under the name uncultured Spirochaeta sp. RNAcentral describes it as "bacterial SSU rRNA". It matches the Rfam family "Bacterial small subunit ribosomal RNA", at positions 1030 to 1382 of the family's 1533-position model. The record is from RNAcentral. Lineage: Bacteria; Pseudomonadati; Spirochaetota; Spirochaetia; Spirochaetales; Spirochaetaceae.